Molecule: transfer RNA, 73 nt
Filed under: Cadophora malorum
Lineage: Eukaryota; Fungi; Ascomycota; Leotiomycetes; Helotiales; Ploettnerulaceae
Description: tRNA-Ile
Rfam family: tRNA
About the family: Transfer RNA (tRNA) molecules are approximately 80 nucleotides in length. Their secondary structure includes four short double-helical elements and three loops (D, anti-codon, and T loops).
Source: RNAcentral
GGCAGUUAGCUCAGUUGGUUAGAGCGUGGUGCUAAUAACGCCAAGGUCGCGAGUUCGACCCUCGUAGUGAUCA